Coregonus clupeaformis (lake whitefish) is the source of this 196-nucleotide long non-coding RNA. RefSeq lists it as uncharacterized. The record is from RefSeq and is a predicted model, not a curated record. Lineage: Eukaryota; Metazoa; Chordata; Actinopteri; Salmoniformes; Salmonidae. The transcript is spliced from 3 exons.
CUGUAACAGAAACAGUUAAUUGAUUGGAGAAAAAAAUUAAAUGUAUCCUUACCAAUGGAGAAAUUCCUAUUAGUACUUGUGGUGAUUACAACAUGCUGUGCUGUACCUCAAGAACUCAGAUGACGCUGUUGUCAUCAAGAGGACUGCGGCAGGCGAACUGGAACAACGUUCCAAGCACCGCAUAGCAAUCUUUGAU